Molecule: unclassified non-coding RNA, 1959 nt
Filed under: Venturia canescens
Lineage: Eukaryota; Metazoa; Arthropoda; Insecta; Hymenoptera; Ichneumonidae
Description: sET and MYND domain-containing protein 4-like, transcript variant X1
Source: RNAcentral
GUGAAGAAAUCGACGCAGUAGAAAACAAAUCUUCGGUGGGAGUUUUGAAGUCUAAUUUUAAUCUACACCGCGUCUGCUUGGUCGUAAACCGUCACGAUCGUACACUGUGAUUAUUUUGUCGAGAACAACGGAUCGUAUUUCCGAAGAUCAAAAAAAGAAUCUAUUAUCAGCGAAAAAUGCCAUUGCGAAAAAGUGAGGCUUUGGGUGAGUUUCAUCAACUUGUACAUGACAUUACCUCGACAAAGACAUUCGUCGAACAAUUCCAGUGUCUCAGUAAAAAAUGCGAUAGACGUGGUAUGAUAAAAAUUCUCCUGGAUAUCGCAGAAGUUGCACAAUUACGAGUUCAAGAAUCAUAUCAUGAGAAGGAUGAUGAAGAGGCUGAAAAAAUUUACAGAACGUAUCAAACUCUUCCAAUGGAUAGAAAUGAUCGUGGAAUUUUCGUACGAACAAGUUUUCUUACGAAAGCAUUUUUUGCAGCGACUCCAAGGAGCAUGUUGUUUAAAGAUAUUCUUCUUGAACGUGCCCGAUGCUGGUACUCCGCGAAUUUGUUUACCAGAUGCUUGAAAGAUUGUGACUAUUUAAUGAACAUUUUGAAUGGAACAGAAAAUGAUCUCAUAGACAGCAUUCCAUUGCAUAAUCAUAAAAUGAAUGUGGAAUGUACCGAGCUCAUAUCGAAAUGUAUUGAAUCUCUUAAGCGUGCUAACAAAGCAUCCCGAAAAGCGCCGAACAAGAUUGUGCCUUUACCACACAUCGAAGGCAAAUUGAACUCGAAAAUGCCAAGCUGCAGUAACUCUGUAAUUCAGUGUUACGACAGAAUAAGAGGUAGGCACCUCGUUUCGACGAGAAAUAUAAAGACUGGUAGUGUGAUACUGAUCGACCAACCUUUUUCCUUCAGUACCGAUAUCCAGUCGCUUUCAACAAACUGUUUGCACUGUCACAUAUCGCUCAACCUUCAAGAUAAUGUUCGGAUACCCUGCCAAAAUUGUCAAACUGUGUCGUAUUGCUCGAAUCGUUGUCGGCAACAAUCCUGGCAAAAAUAUCAUAAAUACGAAUGUAAGAUUUUCGAUUACUUUUACGAGAUCAAUGGUCGCGAAGUCAAUCCUGCCCAACAACGCAGAUCACAUUUGUUGCUUGCUUGGAGGACCACCAUCGAGAGUGCGAUCGAUAAAACGAGAGAUUGUUUACGUGAUGAUUGGCUCAGUUAUCAGGAGUCGUCGAGCAACCAGGAUAACAAUAGUCGAGAAACGUAUUUCUCAAUUGAUCCAUAUGAUUCUUCUUGCUAUCAGACGGUUUUUGCUCUUGAAACCCAUUGUUCCGAUUCUUCGACGAUCAUUAAUCUUUCACGAUCCGUGUGCUCGAUAUUUUUCACCAAAUGUUUAGAACUUGUUUUCUUACAAAAUCAUCCAUCCUCUACUGCUUCGAUCGAUACAAAUAAAUUGUUACUGGUUGCUGUUGGAAUGCUUCGACAUAUGCAAUCAGUAGAUUGUAACGCUUAUGAAAUUGUGGAAAACAUAAGGGAUGAAACGACAAGAAUUUGGGGACCGCGCAAUGUUGGAGGAGCAAUUUAUCCCACUGUGAGUUUGAUAAAUCACGGUUGUUACCCAAAUGUCGUCCGACACUCUUAUCCUCAUGCAUAGAAAAAAAUUAUCAAAAUCGGAGGCGGACACCAAAGUACCUUUCUUUAUAAGUCGCUCGAGCGGGGCUGCGGAACGCGAGGGGGUACCCCCACCGCCGUGCCCGGGAGAACGGCCGUCGCCGCACUCUCGGCCGUGCGCCGUCGAGAGUAAAUUACAUGGAUAACCGUGAUGACAAAAUCCCUGUGGAGGUAAAGUUGUUGUUCGAGCCAUACGUUACAUCAAAAAAGGUGCAGAGAUACUGGAUUGCUAUGGGCCACAUUUUGUUAGUGAUAAUGCAUCUCACCGACAGCAUUAUUUGCGAGAUAAAUAUCAUUUCACAUGU